Molecule: non-coding RNA, 616 nt
Organism: Penaeus vannamei (Pacific white shrimp)
Lineage: Eukaryota; Metazoa; Arthropoda; Malacostraca; Decapoda; Penaeidae
Source: RefSeq, a predicted model, not a curated record
GCCAAGUGUAUGCCAGGCUGUGACACUGGCGACGAGGGGUGCCAGUGUUGUGGCAGCCAGGUCGGGGAGAAGCACGGCCGCUCUCGGAGGGGGAGGCGCCACUGAGGCUUCGCGUUGGACUCUUUGCGCUCGUUCCUUCCCGUGUUGUGCGCGGCAGUGAAGUGAGAGAAAGAAAAAGGAAUAACUAGAGAGGCAAGGAGAGGGAAGGAAAAGGAGUAGCGAGGAAGACUGGCGGACUGGGAGCAAAAGAACUAACUAGAGAGAUCGCGCAGGCUGAGACCUAGAGGGCAAAGGUGAGUUUCGAAAACAUUUACGAUUGUAUUUUAAAAAAGGAGACCCAUUAAGCUGGAGUCGUGUUUAUAUCUUAUUUAUUUUUUUAUUUUUUUUUUACUCCAUGCUGGGAAUCGUUACGAAAAAUAACCGGAUUUAGGGAGUGAAGUUAAUAAAAUCAGCUGGCAUGCAAGUAUAAUCUGUUCUGAACUACGCAGCGGCAUUAAAGAUAACGGGAAAUCUUUCGAGAGACGAAAAAAGAAAGAGGGAGGUGAGAUAAAGGAAAGUGAAGAAGGAAGAUAAUAGAGAAAGAAAUGAAUGGACAGUGGACAGAAAAACAAGAAAA